Molecule: long non-coding RNA, 502 nt
Organism: Gallus gallus (chicken)
Lineage: Eukaryota; Metazoa; Chordata; Aves; Galliformes; Phasianidae
Source: Ensembl
GUAACAGGGAAUAAGGCAUCUGUUUAAGUCCAAAACCUUAGAACCCUUUACUAUAUAAAAUCUGUCUAAUAUUUGAUGUGUGAUCUGAUUCCUCCUUCUUUUUAAGCUGCUAUUACUGUGACACAGUAGAGGCCCAGAUUCACAUUUACAGAAGUUCUGAACUGACUGAGAUUUCAAUUGACCCUUGUUACAGCAUUUGCGGUCCAAGAAAAGGGUACGGACGCUUCUCCUGAACGCGAAUUUCCUCUAGGUUGUCAGGUGCUUUCUUGUUUUCAGUACAUCAUUGCACUUCAAUUGUGCUCUGUCAGUAGACACCACAAGAAGGAAGAAAGUUCAGAAUUGUCACUGCUGUUCAGAUGGAAGCUGAAAUCUUCAUGUUACCACUGGUCUUCAUCCACUGAGGCUGAUAGUGAAAUACCAAGUGUUGGAAGAUUCCUGGUAAAGUUUUACACGAUGGCAAAAGGACAUCAGAAGCAUCAGAAGACUGUUGGGAAGAUCCCAG